AGAAUCAACGCUGGCGGCGUGCCUAACACAUGCAAGUCGCACGAGAAAGCGGGGGCAAUCCUGUGAGUAAAGUGGCGUACGGGUGAGUAACACGUGAAUCAUCUACCUUCGAGUGCGGAAUAACUGAGAGAAAUCUUAGCUAAUACCGCAUAAUACCCACGGGUCAAAGCAGCAAUGCGCUUGAAGAGGAGUUCGCGGCAGAUUAGUUAGUUGGCGGGGUAAUGGCCCACCAAGACGAUGAUCUGUA
This 247-nucleotide ribosomal RNA is filed under the name uncultured bacterium. RNAcentral describes it as "partial small subunit ribosomal RNA". It matches the Rfam family "Bacterial small subunit ribosomal RNA", at positions 26 to 285 of the family's 1533-position model. The record is from RNAcentral.